CGCUGGCGGCGUGCCUAACACAUGCAAGUCGAGCGGGGAUUGUGGAAGUGCUUGCACAGAAGCAAUUCUAGCGGCGGACGGGUGAGUAACGCGUGAGCAAGCUGUCCUUCACAGGGGGAUAACACUUGGAAACAGGUGCUAAUACCGCAUAAGACCACGCAGCCGCAUGGCAGAGAGGUCAAAGGAGAAAUCCGGUGAAGGGUGCGCUCGCGUCCCAUUAGAUAGUUGGCGGGGUAACGGCCCACCAAGUCGACGAUGGGUAGCCGACCUGAGAGGGUGAUCGGCCACACUGGGACUGAGACACGGCCCAGACUCCUACGGGAGGCAGCAGUGGGGAAUAUUGGGCAAUGGGCGAAAGCCUGACCCAGCAACGCCGCGUGAGGGAAGAAGGUUUUCGGAUUGUAAACCUCUGUCCUGGGGGACGAAGGAAGUGACGGUACCCCGGGAGGAAGCCCCGGCUAACUACGUGCCAGCAGCCGCGGUAAUACGUAGGGGGCGAGCGUUGUCCGGAAUUAUUGGGCGUAAAGGGCGCGUAGACGGCUGUGUAAGUUAUAGGUGAAAGCCCAACUUUCAAGGUUGGAACUGCCUGUAAUACUGCAUGGCUUGAGUGCAGGAGAGGGAAGCGGAAUUCCUAGUGUAGCGGUGAAAUGCGUAGAUAUUAGGAGGAACACCAGUGGCGAAGGCGGCUUUCUGGACUGUAACUGACGUUGAGGCGCGAAAGCGUGGGGAGCAAACAGGAUUAGAUACCCUGGUAGUCCACGCUGUAAACGAUGGAUGCUAGGUGUGGGAGGUAUCGACCCCUUCCGUGCCGGAGUUAACGCAAUAAGCAUCCCGCCUGGGGAGUACGGCCGCAAGGUUGAAACUCAAAGGAA
RNAcentral lists this ribosomal RNA (872 nucleotides) under human gut metagenome. Its description in RNAcentral is "bacterial SSU rRNA". It matches the Rfam family "Bacterial small subunit ribosomal RNA", at positions 34 to 909 of the family's 1533-position model. The record is from RNAcentral.